Molecule: ribosomal RNA, 499 nt
Filed under: uncultured bacterium
Lineage: Bacteria
Description: partial 16S ribosomal RNA
Rfam family: Bacterial small subunit ribosomal RNA
Source: RNAcentral
GACGAACGCUGGCGGCGUGCCUAAUACAUGCAAGUCGAGCGAAGUUUUUCUGGUGCUUGCACCGGAAAGACUUAGCGGCGAACGGGUGAGUAACACGUAAAGAACCUGCCUCAUAGACUGGGACAACUAUUGGAAACGAUAGCUAAUACCGGAUAAUAGCAUUAACUGCAUGGUUGAUGUUUAAAAGUUGGUUUUGCUAACACUAUGAGAUGGCUUUGCGGUGCAUUAGCGAGUUGGUGGGGUAAAGGCCUACCAAGGCGACGAUGCAUAGCCGACCUGAGAGGGUGAUCGGCCACACUGGGACUGAGACACGGCCCAGACUCCGACGGGAGGCAGCAGUAGGGAAUCUUCCGCAAUGGGCGAAAGCCUGACGGAGCAACGCCGCGUGAGUGAAGAAGGAUUUCGGUUCGUAAAGCUCUGUUGUUAGGGAAGAAUGAUUGUGUAGUAACUAUACACAGUAGAGACGGUACCUAACCAGAAAGCCACGGCUAACUACGUG